GGCCAGACUCCUACGGGAGGCAGCAGUGGGGAAUAUUGCACAAUGGGGGAAACCCUGAUGCAGCGACGCCGCGUGAGCGAAGAAGUAUUUCGGUAUGUAAAGCUCUAUCAGCAGGGAAGAAAUUGACGGUACCUGAGUAAGAAGCUCCGGCUAAAUACGUGCCAGCAGCCGCGGUAAUACGUAGGGGGCAAGCGUUAUCCGGAUUUACUGGGUGUAAAGGGGGCGCAGACGGCAGCGCAAGCCAGGAGUGAAAGCCCGGGGCCCAACCCCGGGACUGCUCUUGGAACUGCGCGGCUGGAGUGCAGGAGGGGCAGGCGGAAUUCCUGGUGUAGCGGUGAAAUGCGUAGAUAUCAGGAGGAACACCGGUGGCGAAGGCGGCCUGCUGGACUGCGACUGACGUUGAGGCCCGAAAGCGUGGGGAGCAAACAGGAUUAGAUACCCCCGUAAAA
This 449-nucleotide ribosomal RNA is filed under the name uncultured bacterium. RNAcentral's name for it is "partial 16S ribosomal RNA". It matches the Rfam family "Bacterial small subunit ribosomal RNA", at positions 329 to 794 of the family's 1533-position model. The record is from RNAcentral.